GAUGAACGCUGGCGGCGUGCCUAAUACAUGCAAGUCGAGCGAACGGACGAGAAGCUUGCUUCUCUGAUGUUAGCGGCGGACGGGUGAGUAACACGUGGAUAACCUACCUAUAAGACUGGGAUAACUUCGGGAAACCGGAGCUAAUACCGGAUAAUAUUUUGAACCGCAUGGUUCAAAAGUGAAAGACGGUCUUGCUGUCACUUAUAGAUGGAUCCGCGCUGCAUUAGCUAGUUGGUAAGGUAACGGCUUACCAAGGCAACGAUGCAUAGCCGACCUGAGAGGGUGAUCGGCCACACUGGAACUGAGACACGGUCCAGACUCCUACGGGAGGCAGCAGUAGGGAAUCUUCCGCAAUGGGCGCAAGCCUGACGGAGCAACGCCGCGUGAGUGAUGAAGGUCUUCGGAUCGUAAAACUCUGUUAUUAGGGAAGAACAUAUGUGUAAGUAACUGUGCACAUCUUGACGGUACCUAAUCAGAAAGCCACGGCUAACUACGUG
This 497-nucleotide ribosomal RNA is filed under the name uncultured bacterium. Its description in RNAcentral is "partial 16S ribosomal RNA". It matches the Rfam family "Bacterial small subunit ribosomal RNA", at positions 28 to 507 of the family's 1533-position model. The record is from RNAcentral.